Molecule: ribosomal RNA, 801 nt
Filed under: uncultured bacterium
Lineage: Bacteria
Description: bacterial SSU rRNA
Rfam family: Bacterial small subunit ribosomal RNA
Source: RNAcentral
ACGGGUGAGUAACGCGUGAGUAACCUGCCUUUCAGAGGGGGAUAACAUCCUGAAAAGGAUGCUAAUACCGCAUAACAUAUCGAGGCCGCAUGGCAUUGGUAUCAAAGGAGCAAUCCGCUGAGAGAUGGACUCGCGUCCGAUUAGCCAGUUGGCGGGGUAACGGCCCACCAAAGCGACGAUCGGUAGCCGGACUGAGAGGUUGAACGGCCACAUUGGGACUGAGACACGGCCCAGACUCCUACGGGAGGCAGCAGUGGGGGAUAUUGCACAAUGGAGGAAACUCUGAUGCAGCAACGCCGCGUGAGGGAAGAAGGUCUUCGGAUUGUAAACCUUUGUCCUUGGUGACGAAACAAAUGACGGUAGCCAAGGAGGAAGCUCCGGCUAACUACGUGCCAGCAGCCGCGGUAAUACGUAGGGAGCAAGCGUUGUCCGGAUUUACUGGGUGUAAAGGGUGCGUAGGCGGCUCUGCAAGUCAGGCGUGAAAACUAUGGGCUUAACCCAUAGACUGCGUUUGAAACUGUGGGGCUUGAGUGAAGUAGAGGUAGGCGGAAUUCCCGGUGUAGCGGUGAAAUGCGUAGAGAUCGGGAGGAACACCAGUGGCGAAGGCGGCCUACUGGGCUUUAACUGACGCUGAAGCACGAAAGCAUGGGUAGCAAACAGGAUUAGAUACCCUGGUAGUCCAUGCCGUAAACGAUGAUUACUAGGUGUGGGUGGUCUGACCCCAUCCGUGCCGGAGUUAACACAAUAAGUAAUCCACCUGGGGAGUACAGCCGCAAGGUUGAAACUCAAAUGAAUUGACGG